Molecule: ribosomal RNA, 253 nt
Filed under: uncultured bacterium
Lineage: Bacteria
Description: partial 16S ribosomal RNA
Rfam family: Bacterial small subunit ribosomal RNA
Source: RNAcentral
UCCGGAGGUUGCAACCGUUGUUCGGAUUUACUGGGCGUAAAGGGAGCGCAGGCGGUUAGGUCAGUCUGAAGUGGAAGCCCGGGGCUCAACCCUGGAAGGGCUUUGGAUACUGCCUAACUUGAGUUCGUGAGAGGAAAGCGGAAUUCCAGGUGUAGCGGUGAAAUGCGUAGAUAUCUGGAGGAACAUCGAUGGCGAAAGCAGCUUUCUGGCACGAUACUGACGCUGAGGCUCGAAAGCGUGGGGAGCGAACAGG